Molecule: non-coding RNA, 70 nt
Organism: Podarcis lilfordi (Lilford's wall lizard)
Lineage: Eukaryota; Metazoa; Chordata; Lepidosauria; Squamata; Lacertidae
Source: the annotation of a GenBank genome assembly
GGUCAUAGCUCAGUGGUAGAACAUCUGCUUUGCAUGCAGAAGGUCCCAGGUUCAAUCUCUGACAUCUCCA